GAUGAACGCUGGCGGCGUGCCUAAUACAUGCAAGUCGAGCGAACAGACGAGGAGCUUGCUCCUUUGACGUUAGCGGCGGACGGGUGAGUAACACGUAGGUAACCUACCUAUAAGACUGGGAUAACUUCGGGAAACCGGAGCUAAUACCGGAUAAUAUUUCGAACCGCAUGGUUCGAUAGUGAAAGAUGGCUUUGCUAUCACUUAUAGAUGGACCUGUGCCGUAUUAGCUAGUUGGUAAGGUAACGGCUUACCAAGGCAACGAUACGUAGCCGACCUGAGAGGGUGAUCGGCCACACUGGAACUGAGACACGGUCCAGACUCCUACGGGAGGCAGCAGUAGGGAAUCUUCCGCAAUGGGCGAAAGCCUGACGGAGCAACGCCGCGUGAGUGAUGAAGGUCUUCGGAUCGUAAAACUCUGUUAUUAGGGAAGAACAAACGUGUAAGUAACUGUGCACGUCUUGACGGUACCUAAUCAGAAAGCCACGGCUAACUACGUG
This 497-nucleotide ribosomal RNA is filed under the name uncultured bacterium. RNAcentral's name for it is "partial 16S ribosomal RNA". It matches the Rfam family "Bacterial small subunit ribosomal RNA", at positions 28 to 507 of the family's 1533-position model. The record is from RNAcentral.